GGUUCUACAAAAAAUAUAAAUUCAGAAAGAUAAAUCCAUGUUUUGUAUCGAGUGAGAUAUGACUCUUGCAUGUGUGUAGAUCUUUGUUUUGGUUGCACCGUGUGACUUCUACACGUGGCCGCGUCGCAUAGAAACGACUAGUUCCUACAAAGAUGCAGGGAAAUCCUAGAUGUGCGGCAGCUAAGAUGGCGAGGAACCUCCUGGAAUGGCACAAAACAUGGAUUUAAUGUUUCUGAGUUUUCGCUGUUUUUUGUAGAACCACCUGUAACUGGAAUAAUACAUUUCUAAGACACUCUUUUCACCAAAUCGACAACGAAGAAAGUAUCUCCAAAUACAGAGCCCAGGACCAGUCGUCCAGUGAAGACAUAACAGUUCAGGUUGACGAGGAGGUCUGCCGCCAGAUGAACUCUGUCUUCAAGGAGCUUCUCUCUCGACAAUCCCUCCCUCCCUACUCCUCCACCUCCUCGGUCACCUCAUCCCCCUCUUCCCACCCUCCGCCACAGCAGAAGAAAGGAGGGAUUGGAUGGAGAAGGGAAAAGCCUGUUUAGAUCAGGCCAAUUGGACUGACAGAAAGUGAGAGGGGACCAGGAUAGAUGGAUGGAUGAAUGAAUAUAUUAUUGCGGAAAUGAACGGGGCAGAGACGAGACUCGGACGAGAAGACACACAGAGGGGGGGGGCGAAGAAGAGCGACUCAGAAGACACACAGAGGGGGGCGAUGGAGAGUGACUCGGGCUGAUUGAAUGAUUGUAGGUGUGGGAUGACAGGUUGUGACAGCAGCCUUAGUGUGAUUUACAGAUGGCUGGAUUAAAUGAACCACAGUCAGUUCACUGUACUGUACGUGUCUGCUGAGCUGCUCAGACAGCAGCCUCCAUUGUGGAGAAUAGACAGUCAGACAGACAACGUUUGAAUUGUACUGUGAAGCCUUUUGUUAGUGUGUUUGAUACAACACAACCCUAACCCCCACUCUGAUUUUUCACUCGACGGCUGUAUCUCUAUUCUCCACAUGCCCACCCAUGAAUUUAAAAGCAUUGGAUUGUUGGACGCAUUAGCUGGUGUGUGUACAAGGGCACACUAGGACACAUGUUGAGAAUCAGGACCCAGGACACUGUUAACUAAUCAACAGCAUGAGUAGAUUUAUCAUAAGGUAUUUUACCCACAAUAACUUGGAAUGUGCACUGCUGUAUCCUCAUGCAUGUGGAUGGAUAAACCAUACUACUGUUAUUUUUAUAGAAUCAGUGAUAUACAUCAAGUACUUGCCAAAAAUGUGUGCG
This 1271-nucleotide long non-coding RNA is filed under the name Salmo salar (Atlantic salmon). RNAcentral describes it as "lncRNA (ENSSSAG00000104888.1)". The record is from RNAcentral. Lineage: Eukaryota; Metazoa; Chordata; Actinopteri; Salmoniformes; Salmonidae.